GACGAACGCUGGCGGCGUGCCUAAUACAUGCAAGUAGAACGCUGAAGGAGGAGCUUGCUUCUCUGGAUGAGUUGCGAACGGGUGAGUAACGCGUAGGUAACCUGCCUGGUAGCGGGGGAUAACUGUUGGAAACGAUAGCUAAUACCGCAUAAUAGUAGAUGUUGCAUGACAUUUUCUUAAAAGGUGCAAUUGCAUCACUACCAGAUGGACCUGCGUUGUAUUAGCUAGUUGGUGGGGUAACGGCUCACCAAGGCGACGAUACAUAGCCGACCUGAGAGGGUGAGCGGCCACACUGGGACUGAGACACGGCCCAGACUCCUACGGGAGGCAGCAGUAGGGAAUCUGCGGCAAUGGACGGAAGUCUGACCGAGAAACGCCGCGUGCGUGAAGAAGGUUUUCGGAUCGUAAAGCUCUGUUGUAAGAGAAGAACGAGUGUGAGAGUGGAAAGUUCACACUGUGACGGUAUCUUACCAGAAAGAGACGGCUAACUACGUG
RNAcentral lists this ribosomal RNA (495 nucleotides) under uncultured bacterium. RNAcentral describes it as "partial 16S ribosomal RNA". It matches the Rfam family "Bacterial small subunit ribosomal RNA", at positions 28 to 507 of the family's 1533-position model. The record is from RNAcentral.